UACGUAGGGUGCAAGCGUUGUCCGGAAUUAUUGGGCGUAAAGAGCUCGUAGGCGGUCUGUCGCGUCUGCUGUGAAAACUCAGGGCUUAACCCUCGAGCUUGCAGUGGGUACGGGCAGACUAGAGUGCGGUAGGGGAGACUGGAAUUCCUGGUGUAGCGGUGAAAUGCGCAGAUAUCAGGAGGAACACCGGUGGCGAAGGCGGGUCUCUGGGCCGUAACUGACGCUGGAGGAGCGAAAGCAUGGGGAGCGAACAGG
This 255-nucleotide ribosomal RNA is filed under the name uncultured bacterium. Its description in RNAcentral is "partial 16S ribosomal RNA". It matches the Rfam family "Bacterial small subunit ribosomal RNA", at positions 524 to 776 of the family's 1533-position model. The record is from RNAcentral.